This 348-nucleotide unclassified non-coding RNA is filed under the name soil metagenome. RNAcentral's name for it is "partial contains 5.8S ribosomal RNA, internal transcribed spacer 2, and large subunit ribosomal RNA". The stretch from base 1 to 120 matches the Rfam family "5.8S ribosomal RNA", at positions 35 to 154 of the family's 154-position model. The record is from RNAcentral.
GAUGAAGAACGCAGCAAAAUGCGAUAAGUAAUGUGAAUUGCAGAAUUCAGUGAAUCAUCGAAUCUUUGAACGCACAUUGCGCCCGCUGGUAUUCCGGCGGGCAUGCCUGUUCGAGCGUCAUUUCCACCCUCAAGCCCCCGGGUUUGGUGUUGGGGAUCGGCUCUGCCCUUCUGGGCGGUGCCGCCCCCGAAAUACAUUGGCGGUCUCGCUGCAGCCUCCAUUGCGUAGUAGCUAACACCUCGCAACUGGAACGCGGCGCGGCCAUGCCGUAAAACCCCAACUUCUGAAUGUUGACCUCGGAUCAGGUAGGAAUACCCGCUGAACUUAAGCAUAUCAAUAAGCGGAGGA